This 409-nucleotide ribosomal RNA is filed under the name uncultured bacterium. Its description in RNAcentral is "bacterial SSU rRNA". It matches the Rfam family "Bacterial small subunit ribosomal RNA", at positions 355 to 775 of the family's 1533-position model. The record is from RNAcentral.
UGGGGAAUAUUGCACAAUGGGCGGAAGCCUGAUGCAGCGACGCCGCGUGAGGGAUGACGGCCUUCGGGUUGUAAACCUCUUUCAGCUCCGACGAAGCGUAAGUGACGGUAGGAGCAGAAGAAGCGCCGGCCAACUACGUGCCAGCAGCCGCGGUAAGACGUAGGGCGCGAGCGUUUUCCGGAUUUAUUGGGCGUAAAGAGCUCGUAGGCGGCUUGUUACGUCGACUGUGAAAACCCGCGGCUCAACCGUGUGGUCUGCAGUCGAUACGGGCAGGCUAGAAUUCGGUAGGGGAGACUGGAAUUCCUGGUGUAGCGGUGAAAUGCGCAGAUAUCAGGAGGAACACCGGUGGCGAAGGCGGGUCUCUGGGCCGAUAUUGACGCUGAGGAGCGAAAGCGUGGGGAGCAAACAG